RNAcentral lists this ribosomal RNA (253 nucleotides) under uncultured bacterium. RNAcentral's name for it is "partial 16S ribosomal RNA". It matches the Rfam family "Bacterial small subunit ribosomal RNA", at positions 524 to 776 of the family's 1533-position model. The record is from RNAcentral.
UACGGGGGGGGCAAGCGUUGUUCGGAAUUACUGGGCGUAAAGGGCUUGUAGGUGGCCAACUAAGUCAGACGUGAAAUCCCUCAGCUUAACUGGGGAACUGCGUCUGAUACUGGAUGGCUUGAGUUUGGGAGAGGGAUGCGGAAUUCCAGGUGUAGCGGUGAAAUGCGUAGAUAUCUGGAGGAACACCGGUGGCGAAGGCGGCAUCCUGGACCAACACUGACACUGAGGAGCGAAAGCUAGGGGAGCAAACGGG